Long non-coding RNA from Contarinia nasturtii (swede midge), 1208 nucleotides. RefSeq lists it as uncharacterized. The record is from RefSeq and is a predicted model, not a curated record. Lineage: Eukaryota; Metazoa; Arthropoda; Insecta; Diptera; Cecidomyiidae. The transcript is spliced from 3 exons.
AUAGGUCGAAAUGUUUUAAAAGUCCAAAACUCAAGCAAAUUGUCAAUUCAUUCAAACAAAUUUUCUUACGUCAUUCCGGCGGCUAUCGAUGUUAAUUGAAAUGGAACCGCAAACAUUGUUUAUCGUUAACAGCUGUUGCUUUUUUUGCAUUACACAAUUCAUAUCAUGAAACUGGAUUUCUCUCGAUCGAUCAAGUAGAGUGUGGUAUUGAAUUACAUUAGUGGAAUAAUUAAAUGGACAUCUGCAGAUGUGUGAAAUCGCGAUCAAUAUGAAUUUAUGAUUAUUGAGAGCGUCGACAUUGAAUAUAGUAGAAUUCGAUCAUAUGGAAUAGUGUGUGUGUGUGUGUCUGUUUCUCUCGCCCUUUUCAAACAAUCAUAAUUCAUUUUCGAGAUUUCACACUCACAUACAACGAGAGAGAGAAAGAGGGAGAGAGAGAGAGAGAGAGAGAGAGAGAGAGAGAGAGAGAGAGAAAGGUGUGCUCAGUGUGUGAUUUCGAAAACAAACGCAAAUGUUAACGCUUUUUUUUGCCAAAUGUGUAAUGUAAUCAAUUGUAUAAUCGGAGUUCAUGCUAUCAAUGAAUGAUUUAGACGUAACUUGCCAUGUCACUUUCCAAUCGACGCAAGCGAUUUAGAGCGAACAGACGUGCUGACCGCGUACGCAAAUCAUUUCGGUGUAUCGAGAAUAAAUUUAUUUUUCUUAUCAUGUUAAUAUGACGAAAAGCAAAGUCCCGAAAAGUCGCUGCCGGCUGGUGGUUGUGGCCCCAAGUCAUAGCAUCCAUUUGGAAUGUGAUGAUUUGUGCUAUUUGCUGAUGACAUGAUGAUAUUUCUCUUUCUUUUUGAAAUCGAAUCAAAUAAUGGUGGGUGAUGACACUUGACGGCGAUGCAAUUUUGUUUCUUAAAAUCGUUAAAGUGUAAUUCACGCAGGUGCCAGAUAUAUAAAUUGUAAUAGGUAGCAGCUAAACCGUCGAUAUUCAAUAGUAAGUUAAUAUUUCUUGAUACCGAAUUUAAUUGCAAAGCAAAAUAGCCAUUCCAAACAAGAAGGUUCGUAGUAAACAAAACGGCAUUGCAAACAAUAAAUAUUUAAAUGAACUAAUUUUAAAAAUGCAUUUCAAGUACUUUUCUAUGGCUUUGCCAAUGAAUGGGGUUUUUUUUUUUCAUCCAACACCGUUUCCCGAUUGUUUGUUUUGAUUACAAUGAAUCAUUCACACA